Molecule: ribosomal RNA, 425 nt
Filed under: uncultured bacterium
Lineage: Bacteria
Description: bacterial SSU rRNA
Rfam family: Bacterial small subunit ribosomal RNA
Source: RNAcentral
GGGGAAUUUUGGACAAUGGGCGCAAGCCUGAUCCAGCAAUGCCGCGUGCAGGAAGAAGGCCUUCGGGUUGUAAACUGCUUUUGUACGGAGCGAAAAGGUCUUCCCUAAUACGGGAGGCUGAUGACGGUACCGUAAGAAUAAGCACCGGCUAACUACGUGCCAGCAGCCGCGGUAAUACGUAGGGUGCGAGCGUUAAUCGGAAUUACUGGGCGUAAAGCGUGCGCAGGCGGUUUUGUAAGACAGGCGUGAAAUCCCCGGGCUCAACCUGGGAAUGGCGCUUGUGACUGCAAAGCUGGAGUGCGGCAGAGGGGGAUGGAAUUCCGCGUGUAGCAGUGAAAUGCGUAGAUAUGCGGAGGAACACCGAUGGCGAAGGCAAUCCCCUGGGCCUGCACUGACGCUCAUGCACGAAAGCGUGGGGAGCAAAC